UAGUCCUACGGGACGCAGCAGUGAGGAAUAUUGGUCAAUGGCCGAGAGGCUGAACCAGCCAAGUCGCGUGAGGGAUGACGGCCCUACGGGUUGUAAACCUCUUUUGUCGGGGAGCAAGACCCGCCUCGUGCAGGCGGAGCGAGAGUACCCGAAGAAAAAGCAUCGGCUAACUCCGUGCCAGCAGCCGCGGUAAUACGGAGGAUGCGAGCGUUAUCCGGAUUUAUUGGGCGUAAAGCGAGUGCAGGCGGUUCCAUAAGU
This 258-nucleotide ribosomal RNA is filed under the name uncultured bacterium. Its description in RNAcentral is "partial 16S ribosomal RNA". It matches the Rfam family "Bacterial small subunit ribosomal RNA", at positions 334 to 588 of the family's 1533-position model. The record is from RNAcentral.